AGUUCAUUCGGCUUACGUCCGUCGACUCGAGCGGAGGUGUCGGAGUCCGCGCUUUUGACAAGAUCGUAAACAUCGGAGCGGCCAACGAGAAGUGUUCGAUUCGGUUUCGUAAAUAAGAAACACAGGUUUUUCGGUGCAAGCUCUGCUUUCGUUUGUUUCGUUUUCUGAAACUUGUGCGCCGCGUGAAACCGUUUGUGUAUUGACGCUGAAUGAUCGCGUUGGACGUGCUCGACGUUGGUUGAGUUGGACUAAGCAGCGGGAGGCGGACAUUCGAACUUCAAUGCGUUCGCUUGUAGACCGAAUUCAGGCGCUGAUAGAGCACCUGUUUGUGAUGAACUGUCAUUUGGAGUGGACAAAUUUAGGAAUGCAAAGAGCAGAAGGUGAACUCUGAAUGUAUUUAACAUUUAGCAGCAAGAAUAUUAAACGCGCGGCAUAAGUUUCUCGGUUCGUCAACAACUUUAUUACAUGUAACAAAAUCUGAAGAAAUUAUGCAGGGUAUUCGUGUGUAGUAUGGAAGAAGAAAUAUUUUUAUGAAUUUACGAUAUUCGUGGUUAUAUUACAUUCGUCGAUACAAAUUUUGUUUUUAUCAGUUUUGGAAAAAUGUGAAAAAAUUUAUGUAAUUGGCACAAACUUUGAUAUACACGUCGGAAUAAUUUUACCUUUACUCGCGAGACACCAGGAACUUGCAAACACAAAAUAUCUCUUCGGAACAAAUCUGUGUGUUGCCACUUAAAGACAGGACAGGACAGGACCGGACCGGACCCUGGCUGGACAGCUGCUUAAAAAAAAGUCAAAAUGAAGGUGUGAGAGACGAAGACGGUCUUUGGGCUCUUGGGAAUUUGUGAUCUCCGACCUGCCGCAAGAAACCCUCCCCAAUUGAGAGAAAGCAAUCCCCCCUUUUGGAUGGGCACCAUGAGGGGGUGUGAGGAGAAUGUACGUCAUCUUCCCUGCUGAAGAGGUCGUAGAAUUAACGCUAGGAAGAUCCAUUUUCCACCAGCACCAGCUGUUGCACCAGCAGUACGAACAGCAAUUGCAGGAAGGAUUGCACACCAUCAGCUUAUCCCAUCGAGAACUUGAAGAGCAUCAGGAUCUCGGGCACAGUUAUCCUUCAAGACCAGGAACUGUGUGGAGUCCAAAGAAAAGAGUACAACAGAAGAAUCAGAAGCCGAAAGCGAAUCAGAAGACGAGCAGAGGAGAAGACAAAAUGGCUGCCGGAGGUGACAUCACGCUACGAGACGUCAGCCAUCCGUCGUUA
This is a non-coding RNA of Zootermopsis nevadensis, 1255 nucleotides long. The record is from RefSeq and is a predicted model, not a curated record. Lineage: Eukaryota; Metazoa; Arthropoda; Insecta; Blattodea; Termopsidae.